UGGGGAAUUUUGCGCAAUGGGCGAACGCCUGACGCAGCGACGCCGCGUGUACGAUGAAGGCCUUUGGGUCGUAAAGUACUGUCAACGGGGACGAACGCCUCAGAUUGAAUAGGUCUGAGGUCUGACGGUACCCGUGGAGGAAGCACCGGCUAACUCUGUGCCAGCAGCCGCGGUAAUACAGAGGGUGCAAACGUUGCUCGGAAUGACUGGGCGUAAAGCGCGCGCAGGUGGCCCGUUAAGUUGGCUGUGAAAUCCCCUGGCUCAACCAGGGAAGUGCAGUCGAUACUGGCGGGCUCGAGUCCCGGAGAGGGUGGUAGAAUUCCCAGUGUAGAGGUGAAAUUCGUAGAUAUUCGGAAGAACACCAGUGGCGAAGGCGACUGUCUGGCACAUUUCUGACGCUGAGGUGCGAAAGCGUGGGGAGCAAACAGGAUUAGAUACCCGCGUAGUCC
RNAcentral lists this ribosomal RNA (449 nucleotides) under uncultured prokaryote. Its description in RNAcentral is "bacterial SSU rRNA". It matches the Rfam family "Bacterial small subunit ribosomal RNA", at positions 355 to 796 of the family's 1533-position model. The record is from RNAcentral.